AUAUGACAUUUGGGGUGCGUAAAAGCUGAGAUUAUACCCAUUGAACCUGAUGCAGUUAGAACUGACGAAGGGAAAUGUGUAAGUUACAAC
Streptococcus sp. HSISB1 is the source of this 90-nucleotide non-coding RNA. The record is from Rfam. NCBI's taxonomy places the organism in Bacteria, Bacillati, Bacillota, Bacilli, Lactobacillales, Streptococcaceae.